ACAAGUUGACAAGAGCAUCGGGUGGAUGCCUUGGCGUCGGAAGGCGAUGAAAGACGUGGUAAGCUGCGAAAAGCCUCGGGGAGAAGCUAAACAUUCUGUGAUCCGGGGAUUUCUGAAUGGGGAAACCCGGCGGAGGUCAUGCUCCGUCGCGGGCACUUGAAUACAUAAAGUGUCCAGCGCCAACUCAGGGAAGUGAAACAUCUCAGUACCUGAAGGAAAAGAAAUCAAACGAGACUCCCAAAGUAGCGGCGAGCGAAAUGGGAUGAGCCCAAACCGGCUGGAUUCGUUCAGCCGGGGUUGUAGGGCCGGCAUAUGUGAUUCAUGAGUAGGCAGGGGAAAUGAGCUGGAAAGCUCUGCCAGAGCGGGUGACAGCCCCGUACCUGAAACCGAAAGCGACACAGCCGGUACCUGAGUACCGCGAGACACGUGGAACCUCGUGGGAAUCCGGGAGGACCAUCUUCCAAGGCUAAGUACUAACCGACGACCGAUAGUGUACCAGUACCGUGAGGGAAAGGUGAAAAGAACCUCUGUUAGAGGAGUGAAAUAGAAUCUGAAACCUGGUGCUUACAAGCUGUGAGAGCGGACUUGUUCCGUGAUCACGUGCCUUUUGCAUAAUGAGUCAGCGAGUUAAUCUGUACUGCAAGGUUAAGCGUGAGUGGAGCCGUAGGGAAACCGAGUCUGACAAGGGCGAUGAGUAGUGCGGAUUAGACCCGAAACCGGGUGAUCUAUCCAUGAGCAGGUUGAAGCAAGGGUAAAACCUUGUGGAGGACCGAACCAAUACCGGCUGAAAACGGUUUGGAUGACUUGUGGAUAGGGGUGAAAGGCCAAUCAAACCCGGUGAUAGCUGGUUCUCCCCGAAAUAUAUUGAGGUAUAGCCUCAUGGAUUGUCUACCGGAGGUAAAGCACUGACAGGGCUAGGGGUCCUACCAGAUUACCAAACCCUAUCAAACUCAGAAUGCCGGUCAGAUGUACCAUGGGAGUCAGACGGCGGGUGCUAAGGUCCGUCGUCGAGAGGGUAAGAGCCCAGAUCAACAGCUAAGGUCUCCAAAUCUAUGCUCAGUGGUUAAGGUGGUGACGUUGUAGAGACACCCAGGACGUUGGCUUAGAAGCAGCCAUCGUUUAAAGAAAGCGUAAUAGCUCACUGGUCUAAUGACGUUGCGCCGAAAAUGUAACGGGGCUAAGCAUAGUACCGAAGCUUUGAAUUCCGCGAAUGCGGUCUGGUAGGGGAGCGUUCUUCACGGGCUGAAGGUGUGUCGUAAGGCAUGCUGGACUGUGGAGAAGUGAUUAUGCUGACAUGAGUAACGAUAAAACGGGUGAAAAACCCGUUCGCCGUAAACCCAAGGUUUUCCGGGUAAAGGUAAUCUUCCCGGAGUUAGUCGGCCCCUAAGGCGAGGCUGAAAGGCGUAGCUGAUGGGAAACGUGUUAAUAUUCACGUACUUGUGUGUUCGCGCGAUGAAGGGACGCAGGAAGAUAGGCAAGCCGGGCGCUGGUUGUCCCGGUGCAAGCGUGUAGGGAUGAGAAAUUGGCAAAUCCGUUUCUCUCUAUCCUGAGACGCGAGUCCGUGACCGAAAGGUCUGAAGUUGUUGAGUCUAUGCUGCCUAGAAAAGCUUCUAAGUAUAGGACACGCAAACCGUACCGGAAACCAACUCAGGUGGGUGGGAUGAAUAAUCCAAGGCGCUCGAGAGAACUCUGGCCAAGGAACUCGGCAAAAUAACCCCGUACCUUCGGAAGAAGGGGUGCUUUUUAGGGUGAAGCGAUUCACUCUGUCGAGCCCUGAAAAGCCGCAGAGAAAUGGUGGUGGCGACUGUUUACUAAAAACAUAGGUCUGUGCCAAGUCGUAUAGACGACGUAUACGGACUGACGCCUGCCCGGUGCUGGAAGGUUAAAAGGAGGAGUCAGCGCAAGCGAAGCUCCGAAUUGAAGCCCCAGUAAACGGCGGCCGUAACUAUAACGGUCCUAAGGUAGCGAAAUUCCUUGUCGGGUAAGUUCCG
RNAcentral lists this ribosomal RNA (1991 nucleotides) under human gut metagenome. RNAcentral's name for it is "bacterial LSU rRNA". It matches the Rfam family "Bacterial large subunit ribosomal RNA", at positions 1 to 1985 of the family's 2925-position model. The record is from RNAcentral.